Molecule: small nuclear RNA, 298 nt
Filed under: Chinchilla lanigera (long-tailed chinchilla)
Lineage: Eukaryota; Metazoa; Chordata; Mammalia; Rodentia; Chinchillidae
Description: 7SK RNA (ENSCLAG00000022181.1)
Rfam family: 7SK RNA
About the family: 7SK was discovered as an abundant small nuclear RNA in the mid-70s but a possible function has only recently been suggested.
Source: Rfam by way of RNAcentral
GGACUGUGAAGGUGAUCUGGCUGUAACAUCUGCCACCCAUUGAUCACCAGGGUUGAUUUGGCUUAUCUGCUUAGUUAGGCAUUCAUUCCCUUCCUCCCUCUAUUCUCCAUGUGUGACCCUCCUGAAGCUGAACACUUGAUGAAAAAGGACGAUCACCUUUGAUAGAAGAGGACGUUCUUCAGUCAAGGUUAUAUAAGUAGCUAUGCUUUCCCACUAGAAUCUCCAAACAAGCUCCCAAAAUGUUCUGAAGAACAUUUCAGAAAGAGAUAAAGAAGACUGCAUUCCCAAAAACAUCAGU